This is a long non-coding RNA of Erinaceus europaeus (western European hedgehog), 4417 nucleotides long. RefSeq lists it as uncharacterized. Lineage: Eukaryota; Metazoa; Chordata; Mammalia; Eulipotyphla; Erinaceidae. The record is from RefSeq and is a predicted model, not a curated record. The transcript has 4 exons.
CCCCCUUUCAAGUUCCUCUCCUCUGCUCAAAAAAAAAAAAAAAAAAAAAAGGCGGGGGGGGGGGGGACUACGACUGGGGGCGGGGCGGCCUCGCUCAAGCGCAUUGUUCCCGGGGCCCGCCCUCCACCGAACCCCGCACCCCGCAUUGGCCACACGCACUGCCCAUCACACGCGGUAAACACCCCAGCUCAGUGGCCACCCCAGCCCCGAGCCCGGCGGUCUCCAGGCCCCCCGGCGGUGAGAAUUUCCCGACUGUUUCUUGGUACCCCCCAUUUCCCCCCCCAUGGUCCCUCCCUCGCGCAUCCCGCUCCCCCUCCUCCCUUGCUCCCUGUGCCCCUCCCCCUGCGUCUGGGCCAAGGGAUCAAAAUAGAGGAAGAUGGUUGUCACUGCAGUCCUGGCUCAAUGGGCCGCCUGUCAGCUUCCUGCUCGCGGAAGGAGGUGACAAGCCCGGCCAGCCGGGACUGGGGGGCAUGGAGGGCUCUGGGCAGCGCCCCCACCUCCCCACCUCCCCUGGGGCACGAGCGCACCAAGGAGCCGCCCAGACAGACCCAGGCAGCCUGCCCCCCCCCAAGCACCCCCAAACAAAGCGGCGAUUCACGCCCCACACACACCCGGGCCACCGGGGCUGGGCGGGCGCAGAGCGGUCCCCAGCGGGUCACUGGCGGCGCUGGCCAGGCAGGGUGAGUCCCCGCUUCCCCGGGUUCCCAUGGAGACGCAGCGGGCGCCCCUCCCUGGCUCUCCACCCCCACCCCCAAAAGUCCCCAAGCAGGAAAAGGGGAUUAGCUGGGCCCAGCGCGCAGCGACCUCUCUGGGCGCCGACACCCUAGCAGCUCCCCUCCGCAGCUCCGAACCCCGUUACAGAGGAAUGGAAGAACCUCUGUGCCUGGGCUCCCGGCCAGCAGCGUCCCUCCCGGGAAAGCAAAUGAAAUCUGUUGAGCUCAGAGGAAGCGGCGGCCGAGCCCAAAAAGUACUGGGCUGGCCAUGGGCAGACGGCAGAGGGGCGAGGGGACCCCAUCCCCCAGACUUUGCACUCGGGUUUUUUGCACUUUCAGCAGAUCCUUUCUAGCUGCAGUGACCGAGUUGCAAGUCUCGGCUGCAGGCGCUGGGUGGGGGGCUUGGCCAAAGGGGGGUGCCCUCUUCCCCCCAGCCUGAUUCCAGGCGGCUCCUUUCCCCCCAAAGGCAGCCUGGACAGCCAGUUCCCCAGAGCCAGGCAGGACCCCCGUAGCUGGGGCAGAAAGAUCCCGCACUGCGCCCACUGGCGCUUGGCCUUCCCGCUUCCUCGCUAUUUUUAAAAAUUCCAUUUUUAAGGCAACUUUUUUGGGGGGUGGGUGAGGUGGGGAGAAGAAUGAGCUAGCUGCAUAAGCAUGUAUUCGCUUCCACUUUUAGAAAGAAAAAAAGUGGGGGGAGGAGGUUAGGCUUCCAGAGCGAAGUGGGGGUGCCUAAUUUAAUUCCAGCCUGAAUUGGGGUGGGGGGGUUACUGCAGCCUCCGGAGGGCUGUUUCAAGUUGCCCUUCCCUGGCCUCCUGUGCCGGUUUCCAGGCCGCCCUCUUUUGGAAGCUGGAGUGGCCCAGGGGGAGGAGGGAGAGGCCGAGAAAGGAAUGGAAAUAGCUGGAGCGGAGGGGACCGGCGCAGGUCAGGACGCAGAACCGGAGAGGAGCUGGGGGUUAGAAGAAGGAGGUACCAGGCCCGCUGUGGGGGAGGCACGGGCUGACUACCGGCUGUGGGGCUCCUGGAGGCCUUGAAGGGGGACCGGGUGGUGAGGGGUGCAGCCCGGGUAUGCGCCAUGCGCCCCAGUCUAAUCCUGCGGCCUUUGUGGGUUCCCGGUAAAAAACUCUCCCAGCUCCCCACCCCCGCCCGGGCCCUCCCGCCUGCUGAGCAGCCCACUCCCUGCCGCAUCUGGAAUGCUUUAUUUUAAUACCACUCCAAAAAAAAAAAAAAAGUGUGUGUAGCGGGGGAGCCUCACGGGGUGGAAAAACACAGAAGCCUAUUUUUAUAAAAUGUUGCCUGUUCUCACCCCUGGGUGCUCUGGGUGCCAAGACGGCGCCCCCCCCCCCAUAAAUCAUUUGGUCGCUAAUAAAAAUUCUCUCUGCCAGCGUCUGCCACUGGCCUUUGCAUUUCUCUGAGUGAGCGUCUGCUGGGGCCUAGGGGAGCCUGCCAGCCGGCAUGUCCAGGCUCUGGGUCUCUGAGUGCCCUCCUGGCUCCCAGGUGCACGGACACUGGGGAGUCCCUCGCAGCUAGACUCACGGCGCAGGACAGACCUGUCCUGGCCAGGCCUCCCAAGUUGCCAUGGAAGUGGGCAGCCACCCGCAUCCAGAUGUUUUUGGGGUCCCCGCAGGCAGGGGCCAUCUUGGGGCGGGGACGCUCCCUGAGUUCCUCUGACAGCCCGCCACCCACCAGGCUCCCUGGGACACCUCAUGGGGGCUGUGGGUCCCGCAGCCCUGCGCGCAGGCCCGGGUGACUAAGCUAUAACCAGACAGCGCUCGCCGCCAUCUUCCGUCCCCUCCUCCAGGCUGUCCCCAGAUUGUCCCCGGGGUCUCCAAGUGUGUUGAUGAGUGUGUGCUUAGUCCCACCGGGCGGGCGGGCGGAACAGCCGUGGAAAGACAGACCGACCGGCCGCUACCCAGACCUCGGAGGACGCCUGGCCUUCGCGAUUCACCGCUCAGAAUUCAUCCCCUUUGUUUGCACACCAAAAGCUGAGCCCGCCGAGCCAGCACCCCUUUGUCUGCCCUGAGCCUCCCGGAGCCCUGGCCCGUCUUCCGAGCCCUGGAGACGCCGCCGCCCCAGGGAAGAAGAUCGGCCUGUGCUCCUAGCAGCGAUUGGCUCUGGAGCUUCCAGCAGUGGAACCAAGAGACCGCGCCCGCCUCUCCGCCCGGCGAAGACAGCGAAGACGCGGAGCCGGGAUUCAGCCGGUGCCACCGGCCUGGAGACCCACAGCAAGCCCCCCCCCCAUCCAGGGGCCAGAGCGCACAGAGACCACCGACCGACCCUUCCGCUGCGUCUUGCUGCUCGGCCUGGUGGGUCUCGCCCCUCCUGCUCCCACCCCAGGCUCCGGCCCUGAGCUUCCUGGUCGCCGGAGGAGCCCCAGCGCCCCAGGAUACAGGCCCCCGACCUGCGGAGGGAACUCGGUUCUGGGGACCCCCUCUCCGUGCCGCAGUGCGUGCCUGCCGGGGGUAUCUGGAGGUGGGGGGGGGCAAGGGUCCCCCACCCUAGCCAGAGCUCAGCUGCCCCGCGCUGUGGGGACUCCCGGCUCUCACUAACCCACCACAUCCCAACAAGGUGCUGGCCUGGCUGAGCCCCCGGGGUCGGGGGGCUCCAGGGACAAGCUGAGCUGACACCAAGCCCCAGCCCUGGGACUGACCCGGCCUUGGGCCAGAGCAGCCAGGGCCUUUGCAAUAACAAGGCGGAAUGUUGCCAGCUUUGUCCCUUUGCCAGAAGAGCCGGCACAGCGGCCUUGCACACAUCCCAAAGGGCAGCUAGCUCACCGGCAGAGGUCCUGUCCUGCGGACCACACCGGCCAUCAGGUCCCAGCUGCUUGGGCCCCGGCCUUGACCCCCUUCCCAGCUUCCAUCCUGAACAGCCUUCUGGAACAUUCUACCAGCUGUGGCCACCCUGCCCUGAUCUCCCCUGAACAGCGCCUCUCCCUGCCAGACUCCCCAGAUGCUGUCAUGAUUGUGGGUCCCCAGGCUGCACCCAGGCAGUGACCACCCCUCUCCUGCUGUCACCUCUUGGGGUGCAGCUGGCCUCAGGCCUUACUGGACGCCAGGACCCAGAGGGGAGCCCCUCCUUAGACCCAGGUGGCUGUCCAAGUGGGGGCUGCGGGAGCCCCGUCCUGCCUCCCACCCUACCCCAUGGGCUGUCUCCUGGCCUGCUCUCAUCCACUUUAAAGGCUGACUGGCUUCUCUGUAUCAUACGUCAGCGAUUCACACCAGAGGGGCCUGAACCCAGAGCCUUGGGCCUGCAGGUCCUGUGCUCUGCCUGCUGAGCUGUCUCCCCAGCUGCUUGUAGCAGGAGGGAGCUGAGCCAGGAGCAGGAAGUGGGCCAGGGGUGUCCCCUCAGCAGAGGCUGUUCUGCCAUUUCCUGCUGAAACGGAGCCGGAGCCAGUGGAACUGAAGCCUGGGGGCCAGGAUUAUCGCUGGGGCUUGGUGCUGGCACCACAAAUCCACUGCUCCUGUGGCCAUGUUUUCAUUUUUAUUGGAUAAGACAGAAACUGAGAGGGGAAGAUAGGGAGAAAGACAGACACCUGCAGACCUGCUUCACCGCUUGUGAGGUGAGCCCCCUGCAGGUGCACCAUGGGGACGUCGCGGAUGACGUCGGUCAGGCCCUCGUGCAGCAGCGGGAAGAUGACCACAUUCAGUGCUGGCCGCUCCUCCUGGAAGCUGAGACACAAGAGGCCUGAGCAGGCAGGGCCAUGCUGCUGG